AAAAACUUUGCAACUGCAGAUAGAAAAGAAAAAAGGGCCUCCCAUUUCAUUUUCUCUGUUAGGGUUUUAAAACCCUUUUUAGCCGCCACCGCUAAUGGUGGUCGGAGACGCGCCAUCUUUCAAGCGGAUCCGAAGGCAAAGGUAACCCCUUUUUUUUUAUCUUCUUGUUGAAAGGGAAAUAAAACAAAAUAAAUAAAAAAAAGAAAAAGAAAGAGGAAAGAGGAAAGAUUGAAAUCAAAAACAGGAAAUCACCUUGUUUUUUUUCUGCUUUUUAUUUCUUUUUUUCUUAAUGUUUUCUUUCUUUUUUUUAUAAAAAAUCGGGACUCCCGAUUACAGUGAUGAAGCCCCCCUUUACAUUGUUUUUUUUCGUGGUUUUUAUAGCCACGGUUACUGUUAAUCUAUGCUACAGUCUUCUCCUGCUAUUUUUGCCUUUUUUCUUGCUUCUGUUUCUGUCCUUUUUGCAGGUAAGAUGAAGUCAACGAGAGGAGUCUUUGCCAUUUCGGUGUAAGGUGGUCAGUCCUCGGGUGUUGGGCGCGCUGUGGAGGCACGUGGGCAGCAAAGUGAACGGCGCAUUAGGGUUAGGGUUUCAAAUUUUUUACUGAAACAAGUUAAGGUUUUGGGCCUAUUGGGCCCUGGGUCAUGGGUUUGUAAUUUGGGUUGUAGUUUUGGGCCUGGGCAUAAAUUGGGUCUUACAAUAAUAAUAAUAAUAAUAAUAAUAAUAAUAAUAAUAUGAAUGGUUUUUUUAUAUAAAUCGAAUCAACAUAACAAAUUAUGAAAUAUAUGAGAUAAUUUAAGACAUAACACAAACAGAAAAAUUACUUUUUGAAAUAAUUGAAUUGUUGUGAAAAAUUAUAUAAAAUAUAAUACAAUACGAAUAUAACAUAAAAAUCAUUUAAACACAAAC
This 904-nucleotide long non-coding RNA is filed under the name Gossypium barbadense (sea-island cotton). RNAcentral's name for it is "long non-coding RNA (GBAR_LNC017425)". Lineage: Eukaryota; Viridiplantae; Streptophyta; Magnoliopsida; Malvales; Malvaceae. The record is from RNAcentral.